Long non-coding RNA from Parus major (Great Tit), 483 nucleotides. RefSeq lists it as uncharacterized. NCBI's taxonomy places the organism in Eukaryota, Metazoa, Chordata, Aves, Passeriformes, Paridae. The transcript is spliced from 2 exons. The record is from RefSeq and is a predicted model, not a curated record.
CUGGAAGCGGGGCCGGCUGCCUUCCUGUUGCAAUGGACGCGGGGUCUUGCCGGCAGCGCCGUCCUCCUCGCUGCUCUGGGCGCCCAGGAGCUACAGCAUGCUACACGCGGGUGAGGAUCAGUCCCACAUCAGUGGGAGGGAGAGCGAGGAGGAUCCUGCUCCCCGGUCCUCUGCACCGGCACCCGGAGAGAAGCCGGGGGAUUCAAGAGACCAGAAACGGGGGAGUGAUGAGAGGAAGAAGACAGAAGAUAGAUAAAUAAAUAAUAAAACGCAAUCGAGCCGUAACACCACAGGCCCCGGGAACGCUGCACCAUCCAGUGUUGGGAAGGGAAAAAAAAAUAGAAGAGGAAAAAAAAGAACCAAAACACUCCACGAAGACGUACCCCCGAUAAUGGCGCCUGAGUGGAUCAGCAUUAAAUGUGCUUUGGGGGUGUGCGUGUGUGUUUGCAAAAGCAGGGAAAAAAAAAAAAAAAAAAAAAAAAA